GUAACAAGGUUUCCGUAGGUGAACCUGCGGAAGGAUCAUUAAAGAUUAUGAAUGAAUAGAUUACUGGGGGAAUCGUCUGAACAAGGCCUGCGCUUAAUUGCGCGGCCAGUUCUUGAUUCUCUGCUAUCAGUUUUCUAUUUCUCAUCCUAAACACAAUGGAGUUUUUUCUCUAUGAACUACUUCCCUGGAGAGCUCGUCUCUCCAGUGGACAUAAACACAAACAAUAUUUUGUAUUAUGAAAAACUAUUAUACUAUAAAAUUUAAUAUUCAAAACUUUCAACAACGGAUCUCUUGGUUCUCGCAUCGAUGAAGAACGCAGCGAAUUGCGAUAUGUAUUGUGAAUUGCAGAUUUUCGUGAAUCAUCAAAUCUUUGAACGCACAUUGCGCCCUCUGGUAUUCCAGGGGGCAUGCCUGUUUGAGCGUCAUUUCUCUCUCAAACCUUUGGGUUUGGUAGUGAGUGAUACUCGUCUCGGGUUAACUUGAAAGUGGCUAGCCGUUGCCAUCUGCGUGAGCAGGGCUGCGUGUCAAGUCUAUGGACUCGACUCUUGCACAUCUACGUCUUAGGUUUGCGCCAAUUCGUGGUAAGCUUGGGUCAUAGAGACUCAUAGGUGUUAUAAAGACUCGCUGGUGUUUGUCUCCUUGAGGCAUACGGCUUUAACCAAAACUCUCAAAGUUUGACCUCAAAUCAGGUAGGAGUACCCGCUGAACUUAAGCAUAUC
This 719-nucleotide unclassified non-coding RNA is filed under the name Kluyveromyces marxianus. RNAcentral's name for it is "sequence contains 18S rRNA gene, ITS1, 5.8S rRNA gene, ITS2, 28S rRNA gene". The stretch from base 272 to 425 matches the Rfam family "5.8S ribosomal RNA". The record is from RNAcentral. Lineage: Eukaryota; Fungi; Ascomycota; Saccharomycetes; Saccharomycetales; Saccharomycetaceae.